RNA transcript from Mesocricetus auratus (golden hamster), 1840 nucleotides. It is a transcript of the gene named renalase, FAD dependent amine oxidase, with no coding region annotated. Lineage: Eukaryota; Metazoa; Chordata; Mammalia; Rodentia; Cricetidae. The record is from RefSeq and is a predicted model, not a curated record. The transcript has 8 exons.
UUGAUCCCUCCUCCGAGGUCCAUUCCGAGGCUGUGCCUUCCAGAAUUUUCUCCAGGGCUGGAUGGGAUUCUGGGCUCAGUGGGCGAGCUCCUCGGUGGAGGCAGGGGCGGGCUCUCUCGGUCUUGGUCACCUCUGCGGGCUCCCCGCCCUCUCAGGCGCAGGCGGCCCGCCCAGGGCACGGUCCUGACCUUCGCGGGGACUCCUCGGUGGCCGCGUGAGCCGGCGACACUCCAACCUUCCUCCACCCGCCCAGCCGAGAGCCGCCGCCAUGCGCCGGGUGCUGGUCGUGGGCGCCGGGCUCACCGGAAGCCUGUGCGCCGCGCUGCUGAGGAGGGCGGCAGCCGGCCCCCUGCACCUCGCUCUAUGGGACAAGGCUGGGGACGCAGGGGGAAGAAUGGUUACUGCCAACAGUCCUCAUAAUCCGCGAUGCACAGCUGACUUGGGAGCUCAGUAUAUCACCUGUACGCCUCAUUAUGCCAAGAAGCAUCAAGAAUUUUAUGAGGAGUUGUUAGCUCUCGGGAUUCUGGUGCCUCUGACUGCACCUAUUGAAGGAAUGAUGGUGACGGAAGGAGAUUGCAACUUUGUGGCACCUCAUGGAAUUUCUUCAAUUAUUAAGCACUACUUGAAAGAAUCAGGUGCAGAAGUCUUCUUCAAACAGUGUGUGACCCAGAUCAACCUGAGAAAUAACAAGUGGGAAGUGUCUAAGGAGACAGGCUCCCCUGAACAAUUUGACCUUGUUGUCCUCACCAUGCCAGCUCCGCAGAUUCUGGAACUUCAAGGUGACAUUGUAAAUUUGAUUAGUGAAUGCCAAAAGCAGCAACUAGCAUCUGUGAGCUACUCCUCUCGUUAUGCUCUGGGCCUCUUUUAUGAAGCAGGCAUGAAGAUUGAUGUCCCUUGGGCUGCCCAAUACAUCACCAGUAAUCCCUGCAUACGCUUCAUCUCCAUUGAUAAUAAGAAGCGCAAUAUAGAGUCAUCGGAGUUUGGUCCAUCCCUGGUAGUCCACACCACGGUCCCAUUCGGAGUUACACACAUGGAGCACAGUGAGCAGGAAGUGCAGGAGAUGAUCAGCCAGCAACUGGAGACCAUUCUGCCGGGUUUGCCUCAGCCGGUUGCUACCAAAUGUCUUAAGUGGAGGUAUUCACAGAGGCCAGUUUAUCUGAGUUUCCUGAAAUUCUGUUCUCCAUCCCAAGACAUCUUUCUGGUCUGGCAAAAGUGUAUCCAUCCUAAAGAAGAAGUUCUACAAUGCAUGGUUCUCCCUGGCCACCUUUGAUGGGCAUGGUAGCAUGGCUCCCUUCUCUGCGCUGCAGGGAUACCCCUGAAGAGCUGCACUGCAGCUCAGGAAGGGUACCAGGAAACUGAAGCAUGAAGAGAUGAAGGGAUCUGUCUGAAAGUGUGCUGAUGCCCUAACCUGAACGGGACCUCCUAACUGACACUUGUGUUCUGUGACCUGCUUCCUCCGGACCACACUCCUCCUUGUGUCUGUAGCACAGCCCUGCUUUUCACCAGGGAGUUUAAAAAAAAAGUUCUAUCCCUUGAGAACUAGCUGAAAAGAAAACUGACCCAUCAAGGCUAGUGUUUCCUUAUGACCUUUUUUUUUUCUCAAUUAGGAAACAGUUGUUUAGGUUCCCAGAAGGCAGGCUGCCUUGCUGGAGCCUCUACCUCUUUCUUAAAGGAGUCAGAGCCUUUUUUCCUGUAGAACCUGAAGAUGCAAUUAAGUAAAUCUCGGUAUUAGCAAAGAGUGACACACUACAGAUCCUCAGAGCAUUUGAGAAAUCAUGUCAUAUAUUAAGGACUUAACAUAAUUCUGGUGUAUAAUACCAAUAAACACUUAAAUAGUCUA